Carassius gibelio (silver crucian carp) is the source of this 1158-nucleotide long non-coding RNA. RefSeq lists it as uncharacterized. The record is from RefSeq and is a predicted model, not a curated record. The transcript has 3 exons. Lineage: Eukaryota; Metazoa; Chordata; Actinopteri; Cypriniformes; Cyprinidae.
UGUUACGCCGAGCGUGUGACGCCAUUUCCGGUGCUGCGAUGGUGGUGGAUUUGAGUCCGCGUGAACUGAACAGUCAGAGCUGUUUCAGAGAGAAACAACAACUGUCAGCUUUGGUUAGCAAGACGUUUGUGAAGGCUGUGAUCCAGAAAAUGACUCGUGUCCAGUGUGAACAACUGCUGCUGUUCCUCAUGGAUAAUCACACACAACCUUUUUACUUAAACAUUGUCUCUUAGAAUUCUGUGUGAUUCACACUAAAUUUCAUCCUUUAUCUUCCCUACAUUCAGACCCCAUUAUCACUGACAGAGGCUGUGAGGAAGACACUACGACCCUUGCAGCAAGGGAGGGAUCUAGAUAAUGUAGCACGGUUCACAUUCUGUAAUCAGGUGUCGCCCCAGCAGUAUGAGGAUGACAAAGAUAAAGCCACUCUCUACAGUUUGAAGCAGUUAAUGCAUCAGAUUGUUCACAGUGACGGUCUGUCCGUCAAACAGAAGAGAUGACUGGCCAAACACUUCCAGAGACAUCACACAGUGAUUUUCCUCCAGCACUUAUUUUCUUCAUUCUAGAAACACUGCAUACAACUGAUCUGUUAGUCCAUGAAUUUGCAAGUAGACUCUGAUUCGUACAAGCUUUAUAAGCAGGACUGUUGUUAGAAAUAUUAAUUUAAUGAAGAAACUGCUAAUCACUACUGUACACUAUUUCAUCUGGUGAGUUUCAGGAGUGUUUUAUGAACAUAUCAGUGUAGAAUUACUUGAAUUGUGUGAAAUGCUCAGGGUUUUUUUUUUAAAGCUAUUAGAAAUACUUGUAGCUGCACUUGAAAUCAAGAUAUAGAUACCUAUGCCUUAAAGGCAGAGAUUUGAGUUAUCACUUAUUUACUUUAUUCUUGCAAUGGCUGCGAGCGCAGAUGAUUUAAAUUAAUGUUGACCUCGUAUAUUACUGUUCUCAAUAUAUAAGUCUCAACUUCUGGUUUUGACUGUCAAAUCAUAAAUGCACUAUGUUCAUUGUGGUGUUACAUAUUGAUGGUAUUUAUUAAUAAGUAAUUGAACAGAAGGUGAAUGGCAUACCUUACAAAUUAUUGUAAUUGCAUUAAAAUUAUUUUUUUUAUAUGCACUUAAAUUUUCCUGAUAUUUUAAACUUAUUAAAAUUAAUUCGGAACUCUCA